This 29-nucleotide small RNA is filed under the name Bombyx mori (domestic silkworm). RNAcentral's name for it is "piRNA piR-bmo-1628200". The record is from RNAcentral. Lineage: Eukaryota; Metazoa; Arthropoda; Insecta; Lepidoptera; Bombycidae.
UGAACACCGUCAGGGCCGGGGGCCGCGUC